Molecule: long non-coding RNA, 1087 nt
Organism: Amphiprion ocellaris (clown anemonefish)
Lineage: Eukaryota; Metazoa; Chordata; Actinopteri; Pomacentridae
Exons: 3
Source: RefSeq, a predicted model, not a curated record
UAUAAUUCAGAGUUUGACUGCAUCUUACAACCGGAGCUGUACUACAAUGAAGCGGACCUGCACAGCUCAGGAAAGGGCCACGAAAAAGAGGCCGUUCACAGACUCAGAAACUGUGAAGGACUGCAUGUUGGCUGUCGUGGAUGAAGUUUUAACGGACGAUAAAGUUAAGACGAGUGUGACAUCUGCUAUCAAACAGGUUUCCCAGAGACUAUGGGUUGAGGAGGAAUUGGAAGUUUGUCGGCUUAGACCUGGUGUCAUUCCAUCAGUGUUAAACUUCCCGGCUCAUCUUGGAAGAGUACGUGCCAGAAAGACCACGACCAAGCAGCCUUGAGAUCUUAGGCAGCGUCUCCCUGAGGUCCCUCUCUAUCUCCGCACACAUCCAGCAACCACUGGAACACAUCUCCAAAGUUCUGCUGGGCCAGCUCAGCUUCCCCUCAGAAGAAGUGCCGCCACCUGCCAGAUGAAGGAGCCUUUUGAGAGGCAGCUGGCAUCGUGAUUGGACUGUACUGUGGUCUGUUCCAAUCCAGCUUCAGCUCCAGAGACGGCAGGCGGGACGAGUCAACGGAGGCCGGGUGGACGAAGGCAUGCAGCUGAGUACAAUCCAGAAAACAACAGAGGAGGAGUGCAGCUGCCCAGAGCCAGAACAACCAGAGUAGCAUCAUAUGUCUCUUAGAAAACAUCAUAGUAUAGCCUUUGGUAUGAAAAAACGCCAUCAUAUACAUCGUAUAUUGUACAAAUAACAAGUCAAAGGAAAGAGACAGACAUUGUAGAAUUGUAGUAAUUGUGGGCUGACUGAUUUACUGAUUAUCAGUAUUUUAUUUUUUACUGAUUUAUGGUAAUAAAUACAUUUAAAAAUGGCGCUACUUUGGCUCUGAACCUUUAUCUACCUGUGGUCACUCUGUCUUCUGGAGUGAUUUGAUUGGUUAUACGUCACGAAUAAAACUCCUUUAACUUAACAUCUGUAAACAAAACAAAUAUGUAUCAACAAAGUUUCCUGUUAGAGUUUGUGUUCUUCUAAGUUUAACUCAAGAUUUUAAGUACUUUCAUUUACUGCAAAUGAAUAUCUACUCCAAAUGUCUCACUAAUA